RNAcentral lists this ribosomal RNA (498 nucleotides) under uncultured bacterium. RNAcentral describes it as "bacterial SSU rRNA". It matches the Rfam family "Bacterial small subunit ribosomal RNA", at positions 29 to 524 of the family's 1533-position model. The record is from RNAcentral.
AUUGAACGCUGGCGGAAUGCUUUACACAUGCAAGUCGAGCGGCAGCGCGGGGCAACCUGGCGGCGAGCGGCGAACGGGUGAGUAACACAUCGGAACGUGCCCAGGAGUGGGGGAUAGCCCGGCGAAAGCCGGAUUAAUACCGCAUACGAACUGAGGUUGAAAGCGGGGGACCGAAAGGCCUCGCGCUCGUGGAGCGGCCGAUGGCAGAUUAGGUAGUUGGUGGGGUAAAGGCCCACCAAGCCUGCGAUCUGUAGCUGGUCUGAGAGGACGACCAGCCACACUGGGACUGAGACACGGCCCAGACUCCUACGGGAGGCAGUAGUGGGGAAUUUUGGACAAUGGGCGCAAGCCUGAUCCAGCCAUUCCGCGUGCAGGACGAAGGCCUUCGGGUUGUAACUGCUUUGUACGGAGCGAAAGGGUCCUGCCUAAUACGUGGGGCGAUAUGACGGUACCGUAAGAAUAAGCACCGGCUAACUACGUGCCAGCAGCCGCGGUAAU